GAUGAACGCUGGCGGCGUGCCUAAUACAUGCAAGUCGAGCGAACAGACGAGGAGCUUGCUCCUCUGACGUUAGCGGCGGACGGGUGAGUAACACGUGGAUAACCUACCUAUAAGACUGGGAUAACUUCGGGAAACCGGAGCAAAUACCGGAUAAUAUAUUGAACCGCAUGGUUCAAUAGUGAAAGACGGUUUUGCUGUCACUUAUAGAUGGAUCCGCGCCGCAUUAGCUAGUUGGUAAGUUAACGGCUUACCAAGGCAACGAUGCGUAGCCGACCUGAGAGGGUGAUCGGCCACACUGGAACUGGGACACGGUCCAGACUCCUACGAGAGGCAGCAGUAGGGAAUCUUCCGCAAUGGGCGAAAGCCUGACGGAACAACGCCGCGUGAGUGAUGAAGGUCUUCGGAUCGUAAUACUCUGUUAUUAGGGAAGAACAAAUGUGUAAGUAACUAUGCACGUCUUGACGGUACCUGAUCAGAAAGCCACGGCUAACUACGUG
RNAcentral lists this ribosomal RNA (497 nucleotides) under uncultured bacterium. RNAcentral describes it as "partial 16S ribosomal RNA". It matches the Rfam family "Bacterial small subunit ribosomal RNA", at positions 28 to 507 of the family's 1533-position model. The record is from RNAcentral.